GACGAACGCUGGCGGCGUGCCUAAUACAUGCAAGUCGAGCGAAGUUUUUCUGGUGCUUGCACUAGAAAAACUUAGCGGCGAACGGGUGAGUAACACGUAAAGAACCUGCCUCAUAGACUGGGACAACUAUUGGAAACGAUAGCUAAUACCGGAUAACAGUAUUUCUCGCAUGUGAGAUAUUUAAAAGUUGGUUAUGCUAACACUAUGAGAUGGCUUUGCGGUGCAUUAGCUAGUUGGUGGGGUAAAGGCCCACCAAGGCGACGAUGCAUAGCCGACCUGAGGGGGUGAUCGGCCACACUGGGACUGAGACACGGCCCAGACUCCUACGGGAGGCAGCAGUAGGGAAUCUUCCGCAAUGGGCGAAAGCCUGACGGAGCAACGCCGCGUGAGUGAAGAAGGAUUUCGGCUCGUAAAGCUCUGUUGUUAGGGAAGAAUGGAUAUGUAGUAACUAUACAUGUAAGAGACGGUACCUAACCAGAAAGCCACGGCUAACUACGUG
This 499-nucleotide ribosomal RNA is filed under the name uncultured bacterium. Its description in RNAcentral is "partial 16S ribosomal RNA". It matches the Rfam family "Bacterial small subunit ribosomal RNA", at positions 28 to 507 of the family's 1533-position model. The record is from RNAcentral.